GGGGAUGAUAAGGAUGAUAAUUUCAAUCAAGAAUUAAACUAGUGAUAACAAUAAUUCUUCUACCUUUCUUCUUAGCAAUUUUUAUGGGGUUUAAAAUAGAGUGUGAUUCAUCCUUAAUAAUUAAAUAAUUCUUCAAGUAUUCAAGUAAUAAUAAUAAUAAUAAUGAUGAUGAUGAUGAUGAUGAUGAUGAUGAUGAUGAUGGUUGAAUAAAAUCCAUUUUUAUGAUGGUGGUGAAGUGACGGACGAAUUUGGGGACAAUGAAUAGUGCAAUUAGGGUUUGAAUGAGUGAUUACUAGCAUAUAUACAUCAUCUAAUAAAGGUUGAUGCAUACGUAUUGUGUACUUGCGGUCUUGUUGAUUUAUGAUUUUAGUUGUCGCGGAGGAGGUUGUCCCGGAUGUGGAAGAAAGUUAAGUAAUCUAAAGAUUGAAGUUAAAGUUGCUUAGUGGAUAUGCUUGCUUUAGCUAAAUGGGGAUAAUGGUAUUGGUAUUAGGACUCUUAAUGACCCCCUUUGAACUAUCGGCUCAUCGUACCAUUGUUAUGUCU
Erigeron canadensis is the source of this 543-nucleotide long non-coding RNA. RefSeq lists it as uncharacterized. Lineage: Eukaryota; Viridiplantae; Streptophyta; Magnoliopsida; Asterales; Asteraceae. The transcript is spliced from 3 exons. The record is from RefSeq and is a predicted model, not a curated record.